CCUACGGGAGGCUGCAGUGGGGAAUAUUGGGCAAUGGGCGCAAGCCUGACCCAGCCAAGUCGCGUGAGGGAGUACGGCCCUAUGGGUUGUAAACCUCUUUUGUCGGGGAGCAAAAGCCGGACGUGUCCGGCUGUGAGAGUAACCGAAGAAAAAGCAACGGCUAACUCCGUGCCAGCAGCCGCGGUAAUCCGGAGGAUGCGAGCGUUGUCCGGGUUUAUGGGGUUUAAGGGGUGCGCAGGCGGAUUUUUAAGUCGGCGGGAAAAUCGGGGGGCUAAACCCCAUCCAGCCGUUGAAACUGGGGAUCUUGAGUGUGCGAGAGGUAUGCGGAAUGCGUGGUGUAGCGGUGAAAUGCAUAGAUAUCACGCAGAACCCCGAUUGCGAAGGCAGCAUACCGGUGCACAACUGACGCUCAGGCACGAAAGCGUGGGUAUCGAACAGGAUUAGAUACCCGAGUAGUC
Molecule: ribosomal RNA, 458 nt
Filed under: uncultured bacterium
Lineage: Bacteria
Description: partial 16S ribosomal RNA
Rfam family: Bacterial small subunit ribosomal RNA
Source: RNAcentral